AACGUAGGAGACAAACGUUAUCCGGAGUUACUGGGCGUAAAGGGCGUGUAGGUGGUUUCGUAAGUCUGGCGUGAAAUAUCUCGGCUUAACCGAGGCAGGUCGUCGGAUACUGCGGGACUAGAGGACGGUAGAGGCGUGUGGAAUUCCGGGUGUAGUGGUGAAAUGCGCAGAUAUCAGGAGGAACACCAAUGGCGAAGGCAGCUCGCUGGGACGUGACUGACGCUGAGACGCGAAAGCGUGGGGAGCAAACAGG
RNAcentral lists this ribosomal RNA (253 nucleotides) under uncultured bacterium. RNAcentral's name for it is "partial 16S ribosomal RNA". It matches the Rfam family "Bacterial small subunit ribosomal RNA", at positions 524 to 776 of the family's 1533-position model. The record is from RNAcentral.